GAGGGAUUUUCCGCAAUGGCCGAACAGCCUGACGGAGCAACGCCGCGUGUGGGAAGAAGGCUCUUGGGCUGUCAACCACUUUUCUCAGGGAAGAAGACCUGACGGUACCUGAGGAGUCAGCCUCGGCUAACUCCGUGCCAGCAGCCGCGCGUGAUACUGAGGAGGCAAGCGUUAUCCGGAAUUAUUGGGCGUAAAGCGUCCGCAGCGGGCGCAUCAAGUCUGCUGUUAAAGGCUGCAGCUUAUCUCCGGUAGAGCAGUGGAAACUGGUGCGCUAGAGGGCGACAGGGGUAGAGGGAAUUCCCAGUGUAGCGGUGAAAUGCGUAGAGAUUGGGAAGAACACCGGUGGCGAAAGCGCUCUACUGGGUCGCACCUGACCCUCAGGGACGAAAGCUAAGGUAGCGAAAGGGAUUAGAUACCCCCGUAGUCUUAGCCGUAAACGAUGGAUACUAGGCGUGGCUUGUAUCGACCCAAGCCAGUGCCGAAGCUAACGCGAUAAGUAUCCCGCCUGGGAUU
Molecule: ribosomal RNA, 513 nt
Filed under: uncultured cyanobacterium
Lineage: Bacteria; Bacillati; Cyanobacteriota
Description: bacterial SSU rRNA
Rfam family: Bacterial small subunit ribosomal RNA
Source: RNAcentral